RNAcentral lists this ribosomal RNA (790 nucleotides) under uncultured marine Syndiniales. Its description in RNAcentral is "SSU rRNA". It matches the Rfam family "Eukaryotic small subunit ribosomal RNA", at positions 440 to 1234 of the family's 1831-position model. Lineage: Eukaryota; Dinophyceae; Syndiniales. The record is from RNAcentral.
AUUACCCAAUCCCGAUACGGGGAGGUAGUGACAAGAAGUAACAAAGCAAGUGGCUACGCCAUUUUGCUAUUGGAAUGAGUAGAAUUUAAAUCUCUUUUCGACUAUCAAUUGGAGGGCAAGUCUGGUGCCAGCAGCCGCGGUAAUUCCAGCUCCAAUAGCGUAUAUUAAAGUUGUUGCGGUUAAAAAGCUCGUAGUUGGAUUUCUUCCAGGGGCAGUCGGUCCACACUACGUGUGCGUAUCUGAUUUGACUUUGGAAUCCUCUUGGGGAACAUCUCUGCGCUUAACUGCGUGGAAUGGUAUUCAAGACUUUUACUUUGAGGAAAUUAGAGUGUUCACGGCAGGCAAUCGCCCUGAAUACAUUAGCAUGGAAUAAUAAUAUAGGAUUUCGGUUCUAUUUUGUUGGUUUCUAGAGCUGAAAUAAUGAUUAAUAGGGACACUUGGGGGCAUUCGUAUUAUCACGUCAGAGGUGGAAUUCUUGGAUUGUGUUACGACGAACUACUGCGAAAGCAUUUGCCAAGGAUGUUUUCAUUGAUCAAGAGCGAAAGUAAGGGGAUCGAAGACGCUUAGAUACCGUCGUAGUCUUUACCAUAAACUAUGCCAACUAGGGAUUGGAGGGCGUUCUUCAUUCGACUCCUUCAGCACCUUAUGAGAAAUCAAAGUUUUUGGGUUCCGGGGGGAGUAUGGUCGCAAGGCUGGAACUUAAAGGAAUUGACGGAAGGGCACCACCAGGAGUGGAGCCUGCGGCUUAAUUUGACUCAACACGGGAAAACUCACCAGGUCCAGACAUAGU